This 253-nucleotide ribosomal RNA is filed under the name uncultured bacterium. Its description in RNAcentral is "partial 16S ribosomal RNA". It matches the Rfam family "Bacterial small subunit ribosomal RNA", at positions 524 to 776 of the family's 1533-position model. The record is from RNAcentral.
UACGUAGGGACCAAGCGUUGUUCGGAUUUACUGGGCGUAAAGGGCGCGUAGGCGGCAAUUCAAGUCAGCUGUGAAAUCUCCGAGCUUAACUCGGAACGGUCAGCUGAUACUGUUUUGCUAGAGUGCAGAAAGGGCAACCGGAAUUCUUGGUGUAGCGGUGAAAUGCGUAGAUAUCGGGAGGAACGCCGGUGGCGAAAGCGACUGUCUGGGGUGCCUGUGACGCUGAGGCGCGAAAGCCAGGGGAUCAAACGGG